AUUUUUCAGGGCAUCUGGAUGUCUCUCUGAUCCCUCAUUUUCUAAUGUCCUGGCAAAGCCCCCCAGAUGUUUAUCAGUCUUAUAUUCAGACAGGCCGCCAUCUCAAACAAACCCACCCGCCAUAGGGGAUGGAUGGGCAGCCUGACACUCAAGCAGACAGCCAGGCACCCGGGCCCUGGCUAAUAACGCGGCAGUAAUCCUGCAUGGAUCUACCCAGGCCAAGUCGAAGGGCUGCAACGAGGGAAACCGGUGCACGCGCGCACCAACAUCAGCAUCUGAUGAAGUCCCCG
This 290-nucleotide long non-coding RNA is filed under the name Salmo salar (Atlantic salmon). Its description in RNAcentral is "lncRNA (ENSSSAG00000082857.1)". Lineage: Eukaryota; Metazoa; Chordata; Actinopteri; Salmoniformes; Salmonidae. The record is from RNAcentral.